UGGCGUGGCCGCUCUCAAGCUUCUCUCUGGUGAUAAAGGCUGCGUUCCGAAAUUCACUGCCAGUACUAAAAUUCUAAGCUGCGUUCGGAAAUGUCACUCGAGUACUUUUCCUCUCUUUUUAUUUCACUCUUGUAUCUCGCUCACUCCAACGUAACGGGACACUUGGGUGACAUUUCCGAACGCUGCCCUAUAGUUACAUAAUAUGAACUAUAGUUUUUCAGUACUGACAGUAAAUUUUGGAACGCAGCCAGAAAGAGAUAGAAAAAAGUUUGGUUAGUUAGGUUAUGGAAACACACGUAUAACUUUGUUUAUAUUCAAGCCAGUAUUCGAAUAUAAAGUAAAAGCUUUUUAUUUAAAACAACAAAAAGCUAGUCUUUUAGACAAUGCCAUCGUGUUGCGUUAAAAAUUGCAAGAGUCGUACAUAUCGUACUGACACAAAAGGUAUAAAAUUUUUUACAUUCCCUAAAGAAAGAACCAUCAGGCAGGAAUGGCUAAAAGCUUGUCAAAGGAGUGAAGAAGAACUAAAAAUUGAAUCUGCAGAUGUUAAGAGUAAUUGUGAAGGAAAACCCGACCUCAUUAAUUUUGCUAAAAUUUGGUAAGAUAGUGUAUUUUGACAUGUAGAAACCGAAUCUGAAAGCCAAAAUCGUCGCUCUUUAUGGUGAAGCGAGAUAUUGAUAAAGUUGAUGACAUUUAAGCUUAGGAAAACUGUCAUACCGACGAUAAUAGCGACAUGUAUAUGCUCCGUGGCUUUAUGAGAGUCCAGGGGGCGAGUCCCCGGUCAGAGGGGGUUUGAGGGAGCUAAAAGCCCCCUCGGUUUGACAAAAAUAACAUUCUAAAAGAAAAGUAAAAAUGCAUCUCACAUGGUAUGUUAAGCGUAUUUUGUUUUUGCGAGAUGCAUUUUUAUUUUUUUUAGAAUGUUAUUUUUGUCAAACCGGAGGGGUUGAAAGCCCCCCCCCCCGAACCCUCCCUCCCGGGGAACCAGGUCCCCCUGACCUGAAUUCCCUUGAGGCCUUGGGUCUUAUACAUGUCGCUAUUUGUCGUCGUUCUACACAGCAAAACAAGAUAUUAAUGAUGAAAAUUGUACAUUAUUUAAAGUUAGGAAACUUGUCAGAACUUAAUACUUUGUUAUAUAUUAUAAUCCAGAUACAAUCCAGAAAAUAAUUAAAUUAAAAUUUCAAAUUGAUGCAUUUUAAUAUAUAAAAUAAUAGUGAAAUAUAAAUACAUAUUGUAAAUGUCAAAAUUUUUAUAUAAAAAUUUGUUAUUAAACUUCUGAUACAUAUGUAUGUACAUCACAGAGUUUAGAAAACUCUGGUUUGUAUACUUCCGCAAUCGCUGAGAAGAAAGCGGAUAGACGCUCUUCAUAUUUAUGUAUGUGUUUGAAGAGAUAUUCAGCUAAAUAUCCCACUCAAUAAUAAAAUCGUGUUCCAUAUCAUGUAAUAUUAGUUUUACAAACACGUUCAAUGUGCUGAGUGUAUGCUCCUAAAUAAACAAUAAAUAUAAAAAUACGUAUAGUUAUGUUAACUGUAGUGUUGUGUAUAUGAAUGCAUAUGUUUUGUAAAUAAGAAUUACAAUUUUAAGUAUAUUAAGCCACAAUCUUUUGCCUUACUAAAUUAAUGAGUCUAAUAUAUACU
This is a long non-coding RNA of Odontomachus brunneus, 1631 nucleotides long. RefSeq lists it as uncharacterized. NCBI's taxonomy places the organism in Eukaryota, Metazoa, Arthropoda, Insecta, Hymenoptera, Formicidae. The record is from RefSeq and is a predicted model, not a curated record. The transcript has 3 exons.